Cygnus atratus (black swan) is the source of this 413-nucleotide long non-coding RNA. RefSeq lists it as uncharacterized. The transcript has 3 exons. The record is from RefSeq and is a predicted model, not a curated record. NCBI's taxonomy places the organism in Eukaryota, Metazoa, Chordata, Aves, Anseriformes, Anatidae.
GAAUUGGUGUUAAUACUUUUUUUCCCCACAUACAGUUGGAGUUUUGUAAACAUUUUUGUGUUCGUAUCUUCUCGUCUAUACAGAAUCCCUGCGUCCUCUGCACCUGUGUGGAAAAUCUACAGCUGCUCUUCGAGUGACGUGACCUAGAUUUUAAAACAAAAACUGCCCAGGAGGCUUUCAGCUGUAGCCUUACAUUUUAACUGGAACUGAACUUUCCAAAAUCUCUUGGCAGAGGGCAGCUUGUUUAGAGAACCUGACUGGCUGGUAGCAGAAGACAGCAUCCAUAGCGGUGGUGUUUCUCUGUGCGAAGGUGAGAUAAGUGCUCUGAGGAGGACGGUGGCAGAGGGCGAACCACGUGAACAGUUUGUCUCCCAGGGACUGGAUAGCAGUAGUACAGAUGCAAAGCACCAGAU